Molecule: ribosomal RNA, 630 nt
Filed under: uncultured fungus
Lineage: Eukaryota; Fungi
Description: eukaryotic LSU rRNA
Rfam family: 5.8S ribosomal RNA (bases 132-285)
Source: RNAcentral
GAACUGCGAGAUCAUCAUUAAUCCAUUAUUCACCCUGUGAACUGUGCGCUGAAGGUGCUACGCUGUCGUGCAUCUUUCGCUGCAAAAACUACUUAAUUUAAACAAGCUGAAGCAAUUAUAUAAAAUAAAACAACUUUCAACAAUGGAUCUCUUGGCUCUCGCAUCGAUGAAGAACGCAGCGAAUUGCGAAAAGUAAUGUGAAUUGCAGAAUUCCGUGAAUCAUCGAAUCUUUGAACGCAUAUUGCACUCUCUGGCUCUCCAGAGAGUAUGCCUGUUUGAGUAUCAGUUUAAACUCUCAACCUCCUAUUGGGGGAUGAGGAAUUGAGCGGUCCGCUUGUAGUAGAUUGCUUGCAAUUUGUUACACUUUGGCGGUUGCUUGAAAUGGAUAGCUUAGCGGUAUUGACCACUGCUUAAGAUGACUAGGCGUAUUAGUUUCCCAAUUGGGAAUCCACUCGUGCGCCGGUGUAUUGGUCUCUAAAGCCUUUGUGUUGGUUGAUCGCCGAGCUCUUCCCCAAGUGUUCUUUUGGGCACUUACCGAGUAUGGCUUGCAGUUUGCAUGCUGAACUUGAUCUUGAUCUCAAAUCAGGCAAGACUACCCGCUGAAUUUAAGCAUAUCAAUAAGCGGAGGAA